RNAcentral lists this ribosomal RNA (232 nucleotides) under uncultured bacterium. RNAcentral's name for it is "partial 16S ribosomal RNA". It matches the Rfam family "Bacterial small subunit ribosomal RNA", at positions 334 to 561 of the family's 1533-position model. The record is from RNAcentral.
UAAUUCUACGGGGGGCAGCAGUGAGGAAUAUUGGUCAAUGGACGCAAGUCUGAACCAGCCAAGUAGCGUGCAGGAUGACGGCCCUCCGGGUUGUAAACUGCUUUUAGUUGGGAAUAAAAGGGGGCUCGUGAGCCCCGUAUUGUAUGUACCAUCAGCAAAAGGCCCGGCUAAUUCCGUGCCAGCAGCCGCGGUCAUACGGAAGGUCCGGGCGUUAUCCGGAUUUAUUGGGUUU